Molecule: signal recognition particle RNA, 96 nt
Filed under: Rickettsiales bacterium
Lineage: Bacteria; Pseudomonadati; Pseudomonadota; Alphaproteobacteria; Rickettsiales
Description: signal recognition particle sRNA small type
Rfam family: Bacterial small signal recognition particle RNA
About the family: The signal recognition particle (SRP) is a universally conserved ribonucleoprotein involved in the co-translational targeting of proteins to membranes.
Source: RNAcentral
GGCGAGGCUUGGCGGACGGUUCCGCCCCGAAACUUGGUCAGGGCCGGAAGGAAGCAGCCAGCCGGAGCGGAAACGGGUUGCUUGGGCCUCGCUUGA